RNAcentral lists this ribosomal RNA (253 nucleotides) under uncultured bacterium. RNAcentral describes it as "partial 16S ribosomal RNA". It matches the Rfam family "Bacterial small subunit ribosomal RNA", at positions 524 to 776 of the family's 1533-position model. The record is from RNAcentral.
UACAGAGGUCUCAAGCGUUGUUCGGAUUCAUUGGGCGUAAAGGGUGCGUAGGUGGCGCCAUAAGUCGGGUGUGAAAUCUCGGAGCUUAACUCCGAAACUGCAUUCGAUACUGCCGUGCUUGAGGACUGGAGAGGAGACUGGAAUUUACGGUGUAGCGGUGAAAUGCGUAGAUAUCGUAAGGAAGACCAGUGGCGAAGGCGGGUCUCUGGACAGUUCCUGACGCUGAGGCACGAAGGCCAGGGGAGCAAACGGG